This 213-nucleotide long non-coding RNA is filed under the name Nicotiana benthamiana. RNAcentral describes it as "long non-coding RNA (NBEN_LNC026078)". The record is from RNAcentral. Lineage: Eukaryota; Viridiplantae; Streptophyta; Magnoliopsida; Solanales; Solanaceae.
CGUCUUUGUUCCAAUCGCCGUGUAAGCCCUAUACAGAGGAUAGGCUGGUUCGCUUAAAGAGAAUCUUUUCUAUGAUCAGGUCCGAAUCAUGUUGUACAUGAGCAGGCUCCGUAAGAUCCAGUAUACGUGAACUAGAUAAAACGGAAUCAAGAUUCCGUUUUAUCUAGUUCACUUAUAAGAUUAAAUAGUAUGUAAAUGUAUUCAUUUCCUCUG